GCCUGGGUGGCUCAGUUAGUUAAGUGUCUGACUUUGGCUCAGGUCAUGAUCUCGCGGUUUGUGGGUUAAAGCCCCACAUUGGGCU
Molecule: transfer RNA, 85 nt
Filed under: Felis catus (domestic cat)
Lineage: Eukaryota; Metazoa; Chordata; Mammalia; Carnivora; Felidae
Rfam family: tRNA
About the family: Transfer RNA (tRNA) molecules are approximately 80 nucleotides in length. Their secondary structure includes four short double-helical elements and three loops (D, anti-codon, and T loops).
Source: Rfam by way of RNAcentral